GGGCCUAAUUGUCUAACGGAGUUCAUUGAUCGUAAAGUUCAUACGAUCGGCUACGAUCAACGAUCAAUCGUAACUUUACAUUGGUAUUGUCUAAUUUAGUUCAUUAUAUGAAGACCGGAUGGUGAACGAUGAACUGAAAUCAUUCAUGAAGAUUGCGUAUUGUUUAUGCAAAACGAUAGUGAAACUAUCGUUAAUAAUAUUAUCAAAUUUAAGUCAAACUCCAUAAUAAUGCAUAUAUUUUAACAAAGUUUUAUGUCUUUUGUUUAAAACAUUAAAGAAGAAUUAAAUUUCACGAAAAAUAUCUACUAUUGAAGAAAAUAGCGUGAGAAAAUGGUACAUGCAACUUAAGUAACAAAACGCAAUUAACGAAUUUAACCAAGGGCUAUUUGGACUAUUUGGUAAUCUCCCUGUUGUCUGUGUAGGCUAGUGUCAAAAUAACGGGGUAUCCUAUUAGUCUGUGGUGAAACAUAGCAUAUUAAUAACCUGUGGAUUGGAAAUUUUAAUUUAUCAAAACAAAACAAAAUUUUUAUUUUUCAGGUUUUAAAGAGAAUUUAGAAAUUGAGCAAAGUUUUACUAAAUUAUAGUGAUCUUAGGAGCAAAGUUUACUUCGUUUGUGUUAUUGUUAAUCAAAAAUAUAAAAGUAAACAAAAAAGAAAACUACCUCUAUCUAAUUUUGUCGAUGUCCAUUUCUUAUGAAGUUUCUCAUUAAAACAACCCUUAACUCAGGCAAGGCAGGGCUAAGGUGGUUAGCGUAACUACAAGUGGUUAACUUACAGUUAGCUAACUGAAGAACAAUCAACAAUGCCCGAUUAAUAAGUGAUCGCGCUGCUUGUCUACUACAUGUCCCUGCUGCUAGUUAUAUCAGUAAUUUCUUUGUUGGGAAGUAUUUAGCACAUCCGGGCUGCGCAAAAGGAGAGGACUAAAUUGAUUAUUAUGAACAGACCAUUAUGAUGAUCCACUGAUAUUGACUCAAAGACAUGAAGAUGAGUGCUUUGACAACAAGACUGACUAGCUGAGCCAGUUUAAGAAAAAUGUGGUGUUUGUGUGUGUCUAAUUCCAGGAGCUCUCUAUGUCAGCCAUCCAUCUAUAUUCUUACUCAUUUUUGUUAAUUAUAAAAUAUAUUUGAUUA
Molecule: long non-coding RNA, 1129 nt
Organism: Bicyclus anynana (squinting bush brown)
Lineage: Eukaryota; Metazoa; Arthropoda; Insecta; Lepidoptera; Nymphalidae
Exons: 2
Source: RefSeq, a predicted model, not a curated record